This 253-nucleotide ribosomal RNA is filed under the name uncultured bacterium. RNAcentral's name for it is "partial 16S ribosomal RNA". It matches the Rfam family "Bacterial small subunit ribosomal RNA", at positions 524 to 776 of the family's 1533-position model. The record is from RNAcentral.
UACGGAGGGAGCUAGCGUUGUUCGGAAUUACUGGGCGUAAAGGGCUCGUAGGCGGCCAACUAAGUCGGAUGUGAAAUCCCCAGGCUUAACCUGGGAACUGCAUCCGAUACUGGAUGGCUUGAAUCCGGGAGAGGGAUGCAGAAUUCCGGGUGUAGCGGUGGAAUGCGUAGAGAUCCGGAGGAAGACCGGUGGCGAAGGCGGCCUGCUGGGCAGUUACUGACACUGAUGCGCGACAGCGUGGGGAGCAAACAGG